Molecule: ribosomal RNA, 525 nt
Filed under: uncultured bacterium
Lineage: Bacteria
Description: bacterial SSU rRNA
Rfam family: Bacterial small subunit ribosomal RNA
Source: RNAcentral
UGGCGGACGGGUGAGUAACGCGUGGGUAACCCGUCUCAUACAGGGGGAUAACAGUUAGAAAUGACUGCUAAUACCGCAUAAGCGCACGGUUUCGCAUGGAACAGUGUGAAAAACUCCGGUGGUAUGGGAUGGACCCGCGUCUGAUUAGCUGGUUGGCGGGGUAACGGCCCACCAAGGCGACGAUCAGUAGCCGGCCUGAGAGGGUGGACGGCCACAUUGGGACUGAGACACGGCCCAAACUCCUACGGGAGGCAGCAGUGGGGAAUAUUGCACAAUGGGGGAAACCCUGAUGCAGCGACGCCGCGUGAGUGAAGAAGUAAUUCGUUAUGUAAAGCUCUAUCAGCAGGGAAGAAAAUGACGGUACCUGAGUAAGAAGCCCCGGCUAACUACGUGCCAGCAGCCGCGGUAAUACGUAGGGGGCAAGCGUUAUCCGGAUUUACUGGGUGUAAAGGGAGCGUAGACGGCAGUGCAAGUCUGGAGUGAAAGGCGGGGGCUCAACCCCCGGACUGCUCUGGAAACUGUACG